This 60-nucleotide microRNA precursor is filed under the name Caenorhabditis elegans. RNAcentral's name for it is "Cel-Mir-70_pre stem-loop". Lineage: Eukaryota; Metazoa; Nematoda; Chromadorea; Rhabditida; Rhabditidae. The record is from RNAcentral.
CGAAAUACUAUCGACGAAUAACACUUAUGAAGAAAUGUAAUACGUCGUUGGUGUUUCCAU